Molecule: unclassified non-coding RNA, 457 nt
Filed under: uncultured Lactarius
Lineage: Eukaryota; Fungi; Basidiomycota; Agaricomycetes; Russulales; Russulaceae
Description: sequence contains ITS2
Rfam family: 5.8S ribosomal RNA (bases 1-154)
Source: RNAcentral
AACUUUUAACAAUGGAUCACUUGGCUCUCGCAUCGAUGAAGAACGCAGCGAAAUGCGAUACGUAAUGUGAAUUGCAAAAUUCAGUGAAUCAUCGAAUCUUUGAACGCACCUUGCGCCCCUUGGUAUUCCGAGGGGCACACCCGUUUGAGUGUCGUGAAAAUCUCAACCUUCUCGGUUUCUUCUGGACACCGAAGGAGGCUUGGACUUUGGAGGCCUUUGCUGGCGUCUCUCGCCAGCUCCUCUAACGUGCAUUAUCGGGGUCCUCUUUGCCUAUCUUCGACGUGUAACAAGAUGUAUCCAUGUCUUGGUUUAUGGCGCUGUUGCUUUUAGGCCCCGCUUCUACCCGUCACAACGAGACAACGUUCGAGCGUGUCGAACACUAGUGAAACCACGAACCCUUGACCUCAAAUCGGGUGAGACUACCCGCUGAACUUACGCAUAUCAAUAAGCGGCGGCU